GGGCGAGUGCUGAAACUGGUAGACAGGCUGGCUUGAGGGGCCAGUGCUCUUCGGAGCGUGGAGGUUCAAGUCCUCUCUCGCCCACCA
Molecule: transfer RNA, 87 nt
Filed under: Candidatus Berkelbacteria bacterium
Lineage: Bacteria; Candidatus Berkelbacteria
Description: tRNA-Leu
Rfam family: tRNA
About the family: Transfer RNA (tRNA) molecules are approximately 80 nucleotides in length.
Source: RNAcentral